This 355-nucleotide ribosomal RNA is filed under the name uncultured bacterium. RNAcentral describes it as "bacterial SSU rRNA". It matches the Rfam family "Bacterial small subunit ribosomal RNA", at positions 527 to 881 of the family's 1533-position model. The record is from RNAcentral.
GGAGGAUCCGAGCGUUAUCCGGAUUUAUUGGGUUUAAAGGGAGCGUAGGUGGACAGUUAAGUCAGUUGUGAAAGUUUGCGGCUCAACCGUAAAAUUGCAGUUGAUACUGGCUGUCUUGAGUACAGUAGAGGUGGGCGGAAUUCGUGGUGUAGCGGUGAAAUGCUUAGAUAUCACGAAGAACUCCGAUUGCGAGGGCAGCCUGCUAAGCUGCAACUGACAUUGAGGCUCGAAAGUGUGGGUAUCAAACAGGAUUAGAUACCCUGGUAGUCCACACGGUAAACGAUGAUUACUAGGUGUGGGGGGACUGACCCCUUCCGUGCCGCAGUUAACACAAUAAGUAUUCCACCUGGGGAGU